This 567-nucleotide long non-coding RNA is filed under the name Marmota monax (woodchuck). Lineage: Eukaryota; Metazoa; Chordata; Mammalia; Rodentia; Sciuridae. The record is from RNAcentral.
GUGAGACCCUGACUCUAAAUAAAACACAAAAUAGGGCUGGGGAUGUGGCUCAGUGGUCGAGUGGCCCCCAAGUUCAAUACCCAGUACCCUCCAAGAAAGAAUAAUUUGCUGUUACAACACACCCCCCAUGGAGACAGCGCGUCCAAGUAGACACAUAAUUACUGUACCGACAGCAUCAUGGAGUUGGAAGUUUGACUCUCCCACUUUUCCUUUUCCUCAGGCCACCUUCUUUGCACAAUGAGCCAUACACUUGAAGGAUGGGGGUGAGAUCUCCCACAGAAUGCUGAGACCGAGGCUGUGACAGCAGUGAUCUUCGCUGCAAAUCAGAGCGUGAAACUGGCUGAUUCAGGCAGAAGUGGGAUUCAUGAAAGAAUGGUUCAGAACUGCUGAGAGGGUGGAGAGCUGGGCACAGACCGACCAGGGGGAGUAGGGGAGGAAAAGUCUGCACCACCUGUCGGACUUCACUUCUGUGGAUUCCCAAGGUCAGAGCGACCGAUGUUCAUCUUUCAACUGAAACAGCACCGGAGGCAACCUUUUAAGAUCUCCUAUUCUCUGUUUUCUACAUUU